UCAACCAAGAGUCAUGUUCUUGCCUGGCCUGUUUCACUGGGGAGUUACCCUUCACAGUAGGACUGGGAAAGGAGAAGCAGGAUCCCUCAGUUGUCACAGUUCAUGGUCACUGCGAAACUCCAGCCCUUACUUCAUGCUGGCAUUUCAUGUCUGUAACUGCUGAGAAGUCAGCACCUGUUCCUUUUUGUUGCAAGGAAGGUAACCUCAUGCAGAAGGUGAGGUUUGCAGCUGAAACUGUCUCUUCAUGGUCUCAGAGAAGACUAUGAAAAUUCAUCAGAAGAAACCCAACCAGCCCACAACAUAUAUGCUAGCAAGAGAACAGCAUUAGUACUGAACUGAACAAGACAAAGCUAUUGUAUCACUCAAUGUAUGAAGAAAUGUAUGAAGAUAUAUAUGAAGAAACAGAGGCAAUUCGUGGAACUGAGGGAAGCAAAAUACAGCAUCGGCAGGUGUGCAUUCAUUGAAAAUGUCAAGACUACUCAAAAGCUUGCUCUCUUUAGCAAUUAGUGGCCCUGCAUGUCAAACAAAGAAUCAACCACUUAAUCUUCUGCCUUUCUUCACAUUAUGUUCAGUCUUUGAAGGUUUAGGAAACAAGACACCCAUCACAAAAACAUGGCCCAAAACGUGUUCAAGUGAGGCAUCUCAUAAAAUCCAAGGCCUGCUAGAAAAUUGAGCUCACAGGUGAACAACAAAAAUGAUAAUCUCUGAAAGUUCAGGCUCCAAACUACUGCUGUUGCUAUUUUCAAAUUCCUUGAAGUGAUUUGCAAGCCACUUGGGCAAGUGGAACUACUGUUACGUCCUUUUCAAAGAUGGAAAACUGAGUCAUGGGGAGAUGAAUUGAGUGAAGAUCGGCUGUGCCUGGGCUCACUACACUGACCAAGGUCUCUUCUGGGUGCCAGGCUUGCACCCUCUGGCCCUAUAGAGAGCCAAACAGUUGCAAGGUUUCCUGUCUAAGGCCAAGCAAAUGUUCUGUGGAAGUACCAGGAUGUGAACUCAGGUAUUUCCAUUCUCAGGAUAUUGCUUUUAUUUUUGUUUUCCCCCUAUGUGCAUCCUCCAAGGCUCUAUCAAGCAAAAAGGUAGUAAUCCAUUACAGACUACUGUUAUAACUAAUAGCCAAAGUGCUCCCCUUACUUUUGGUCUUUAUUCAUUCAUACCACACAGGUAGUGUAUACACAGUGGUUACCAGAACAUCUCUUUUAGCAGUGUUUGGUGCUUAGCAAGCUCUGAGCAAAGCACAGCACUGACCAAGAUGUCCAGAAACGUGCAGACAAAUGCAGGAUGUCCUAUGGUGCUUGCCCUUCUGUGAGGUAUGGCUGACAUCGCUUGUGAAAUAUCUUCAGUUUACUCAGUUAUCCAAAAAUACAGUCUAUCUCUUUGUGUAAUACCUGCUAGUUCAUUAAUUUUAUGCUAUUAAGUAUAGCUAACUGUAGAGCUUUGGAUUUUGGCAUUUGUGUCUCAACAGGAGAAGAACUGUAUGCUACUGUCUUUAUAUUUUUAUUUAAAAUUCUCUAAGCAAUGGUUUAUUUUGAGUGAUGUUUUAAUGUUUUGUG
Long non-coding RNA from Anas platyrhynchos (mallard), 1550 nucleotides. RefSeq lists it as uncharacterized. Lineage: Eukaryota; Metazoa; Chordata; Aves; Anseriformes; Anatidae. The record is from RefSeq and is a predicted model, not a curated record.